Molecule: long non-coding RNA, 1746 nt
Filed under: Homo sapiens (human)
Lineage: Eukaryota; Metazoa; Chordata; Mammalia; Primates; Hominidae
Description: HSALNT0160415
Source: RNAcentral
UGCGCAGCUCCGGUGCCCAGCGCGCAAGGCGCGCCCCAGUCCCGCGCGUCCCAGCCGCUGUCUGUCUCCCCCACUGCCUCCUCUGUGCUGACUCAUUGAGCGACCCCGACUUGUCUCAAAAUAAAACAGGGGCACAGACACUUGUAGUCUGGACAGACUCCCCCCGAGGCUAGAGUCUAUAGGAACUGGAGACAUCCCUGUACCGAUCCUGGUACCAAUGCGCCCCUGUUCGCGCUGUGGUUCUCAGUCUCGCUCCCACCGCAACCCCUUCCCCCCGUAACUCGAGAAAUUUAAACCAGCGUCUUAAAAAUAAACCGCGUGGGAGCCCGGGAGUUCGUGAAUGUGGCCGACAGGAUAGGAAAAGCAAAAUGAAGUGGUUUGUGGCUGAAACAACCUCCACGGGAAAGAAAACUGGAGUGUUCGUUCAUCCAUCAAAGAACAAACGCCAACGUCUGAGCCAACGACCCCAGCUCCCCCAGACAAAGCAGUGAACAGAUUAAAGGAUGGGAGGAAGGAUACAAUCAAAAUCGGGUGGUGAUGGCUGGCAGAUAAAAAUAUGGAACGCUUCAUGAAUUUGCGUGUCGUUCUUGCGCAGGGGCCAUGCUAAUCUUCUGUGUAUCCUUCCAAUUUUAGCAUAUGUGCUGCCAAAGCAAGCACUUUUUUUUUCUUUAAUAGAGACAGGGUCUCGCUUUUAUGCCCCGCCUGGUCUCAAACUCCUGGCUUCAAGUGAUCCUCCUGCCUCAGCCUCCCAAAGCGCUGGCAUUACAGGCUUGAGUCACCAUAUCUGGCCAAUUGAUUGCUUUCUUUUCUUUUUUGUUUUUUUUUUUGAGUUGAUGCCUCACUCUGUCGCCCAGGCUGGAGUGCAGUAGUGCAAUCUCAGCUCACUGCAACGUCUGCCUGUGUUAAGCGAUUCUCCUGCCUCAGCCUCCCGAGAAGAAGGGAUUACAGGCAUACGCCACCCACACCCAGCUAAGUUUUGUAUUUUUAGUAGAGAUGGGUUUUUGACAUGUUGUCCAGGCUGGUCUCAAACUCCCAACCUCAAAUAAUCCGCCCACCUGGGACUCCCAAAGUGCUGGAAUUACAGGUGUGAGCCACCUUGUCUGUGCCAGUUGAUUGUUUUCUGAUUAUAAAAGUAAUGGAUCACUGUAGAAGACUUGGAAAAUACAAAAAAGAAUCGUGAAAACGUCUGUGGCUGCGGCGGGUGGCAGGGAGUCUGUUCCUAGGCCAGUUCCCGAGGCAGAACCAGACACAAGGAAGCAGUGGCGAGGUGGGCUCCUGUACCUGGGGCCCAGCAUUAGCUUGGGGCUUAGUCACUUACCAGUGUGUGGCUUCGGGCAAACAUUGUUAAACCUCUCUAGACUUCAUUUUGUCACCUGUAAAAUAUGACUAAUAAAAUGAACUCUAAGAUCCCUUCUCGGCUCUGUGAAAGGCAACCUCAGAAAUCAACUCUGCCUCCAAAACAAGUGGCAUGAGCUUCUCCACCAAGUCGAAUAAAGUGGAAUUACUACUUUCCUAGAAAUGCUUUAAGAAAGCGUUGGAAAAGCAGAUCUAUGACUCCAUCUGUCUUUCAGGAGCGCUGUCUCUUAAAAACAGAUGUGACUAAUAACACAAAUAUUUGGCAGGUGCCAAUACAUGUUAAAAGUCCAGUCCAAGGCGAUGACCAUUCUGAUCACACCAUUCUAGAAUGGUCAACCCAGUGGAAAGUGUGGCAUCUUUAAAAAUUCUGUAAUGAAGCAGAGUGAUCAA